AGCUCCGUAGCUCAGUGGAAGAGCGUUCCGUUCACACCGGAAAGGUCGCUGGUUCGAACCCAGUCGGAGCUA
This 72-nucleotide transfer RNA is filed under the name Corynebacterium sp. RNAcentral describes it as "tRNA-Val". It matches the Rfam family "tRNA". Rfam says of the family: Transfer RNA (tRNA) molecules are approximately 80 nucleotides in length. Their secondary structure includes four short double-helical elements and three loops (D, anti-codon, and T loops). The record is from RNAcentral. Lineage: Bacteria; Bacillati; Actinomycetota; Actinomycetes; Mycobacteriales; Corynebacteriaceae.